Podospora conica is the source of this 92-nucleotide non-coding RNA. NCBI's taxonomy places the organism in Eukaryota, Fungi, Ascomycota, Sordariomycetes, Sordariales, Podosporaceae. The record is from the annotation of a GenBank genome assembly.
GAUGAGCGGUGGUGUAAUGGGUAAGCACGUGGGUUUGGACUAGUACUAGUUUGGACACCCCGAGGUUCUCGGUUCGAAUCCGGGCCCCUUCA